CUCUAACUAUGGCAGAGAUAGUGUGCCCUCUUUGUAUAUUCUGUAGAAGGUCUAAUCAGAGUAUCCUACAUUAAUGUUGUGACGUGUUAUAUUUUUUUAAAAGCAAUAUCUGGGGAAGCGUGCAUUGCGUGCGGAAGGAAAAACGGCGAAUAAUACAGUGAAAGAAAAUGAUGCAGGAUGAAGAUUUGAGUGGUCCAGCUAGGCGGAAUGUCAUCAGCCAAGGAAUAACAAGAAUAUCACAGAUAUAUCAAAGAUAUCUAGAUCUAUGGACCCCGCAUGUAAUAUCAAGAUGGGUAUUUGCUCUAUUUCUAUUAGUCCUUUUUAUUCUGCGCAUAUUUAUCUCGCAAGGAUGGUACAUUGUCACGUAUGCAUUAGGAAUUUAUCAUCUCAAUUUAUUCAUAGCAUUCCUUACUCCAAAAAUUGAUCCUGCUAUGGAUUUCGAUGAUGGAGACGGUCCAGAGUUACCUACAAGGUCAAACGAGGAAUUCAGGCCAUUCAUCAGAAGAUUGCCUGAAUUCAAAUUCUGGUACUCUGUAACAAAGUCCACGGUUGUCGCCAUGAUAUGCACGCUGUUUGAUUGCUUUAAUAUACCAGUAUUCUGGCCGAUACUCGUUAUGUAUUUCAUAACAUUGUUCUGUAUAACGAUGAAGCGACAAAUAAAGCAUAUGAUCAAGUAUAGAUACUUGCCUUUCACUCAUGGCAAGCCGAAAUAUCAGAACCAUGAGGACACUUCACGAUCGUUAAAGUGAAUCGAAGUAAAGGAUACGCUUAAAUCUGUACGGAAGCAUAAGCGCGUAGAUUUCAAUUUCUCCUAGACCAACGCGGGAGUCAUUAGUAAGAAAAGGAAAACAAUUCCAAGAAAGAACUCUUUUUAACGUUAUCAAAGAGGAAGGACAUUGCCUUGUACAAGAAGCGAAUCUGCGUGUGAGACGUAACUCUAAAAAAAAUUAUAUAAUAUACUAUAUAUAUAUAUAUAUAAAUAUAAACUGAAUUUAUCGUAAUAUGUUUGUAUUAUAAAACUUGUACAAAGUAUUGUUAGCUUUUAUCUCAGUAAAGAAGAGAAAACAGAGAGAGAGAGAAGAGUAAUAUGGUCACAGUAUCGAUUUCGAGCAGUACGCAGUUGUCAAUGUAGUACUAUGAAUGAAUGUAAGAAAUUCGUAUACGCAUAAGAGAAUCCGUUAAUAUAAUCAAAUUCGUUUCUGUUUUUAGAGGAAGUAUCGUUUCUUAACAUGUACAUUCCGCAUGUGCGUUUCUUCGUAUCUUUAGGAUAAGCCACCAUUUUUUCAAAUUUUACCUGGAUUUUUCCAUAGUCUGUCCUCGUCUUUAACGAGAAAUAUCAGAACACAAAAUACUCUGCGAACAAAAAAAUCAGAUUUAGCAUUAUUAAGAAUUAAUAAAAAGAAAAGUUUAGUCGCGUCGCAAUGUUUUAUUAACCGAAUUGACGUUUCGCAUUUUGCUUCUAGUCUCUUAAAAUCUUAUUUUAUAAUUUGAUAUCGUAAAGAGCUUCAUGUGUGUUGCAACGAUAUAUUCUUUGGUAUUCAUAUGGCACAGUAACAUGGCGUAGGUGACAUUUAUUUAUUCACUCGUUGCUAAAUUAAAUAAUUACGUGAAUAUAUUGCACGGGAAUUCUUGUCCAUCAUGAUAACUUAAUUCAGAAUAUUAAAAAUAGCUUUCAAUUAUUGAUACUGGAUGUCAAAUCGAUGCAUAUAUUGAAAGUAUACACAUAAAUGGGAAAUAUCUUUUAACUUUGUUGGAGAUAUAUGUAUUAUAUUUUAUCAAUAACUUAAACAUUAUUGAAUCUUUGCAAAGAUGAAAAUUUUAGAAAAUGCGUUUGUAUUAUUUCAGACUUUACCACGGAAACGUCGCGUUUGACUGAUGGAAAAUUAAAAAUUGCAAUCACGUGUAUUUCUAAUUUAAUUCUAUGCUUCAAUGAUGUAAUAGCCCAUGUUUCUGUUUCUUAAUAUUGCAGAAUGAGAGAUAAGGGAUUGAAUGUAAAACUGUGUUUUAUACAUACAUAUAUAUAAAUGCAAUGAAUUUGUGCCGUAAUAUUAUGCACUUCACAUGCCGCGAGAGAAACGACGUUCAGAAAAAACUAAGGUUUAUACUAGCAGAGUUUUGAGUUGGCAAUUACAACACAUUACAACUGCUUACGUAAGCACGUGUAAAAUGUAUAAGAGCGGGGAUUAGCUAGCACAUUCUUAAGAAAAAGGAAAGUUUUAUAUAUUAAUAUUAAAUACAUUACAUUGUCCAAAGAUGUUUAGCGGAGCGUGUAGCUGUAUGAACUUUGAUAAUUCUUUCGUUUCCACAAAUUUUAUUUAUGUGCGAUUAUCUGUAUACAUACAUAUACAUAUACAUUUUUAAAGAAGUGUUCCACAGAACUUGACAAAAUUUCUAUAUGCUGGCUUAUUCUACAUUUUAUUAUGUAAAAGAGAUCGUUUUAUUUAAAAUAUGUGCAAACGAAAAAAUAAAAUCUUCAAUGAAUUCUGUCUUUUACUCUCAAAGUUACGUAUGUUGAUUCAUGUAAAUAACUUGUACACCUUGUUUUCGCAGAAUCCAUUUUAAUUUUAAUAUUAAUACAGCAUUAAACGUCAUUACAAAG
RNAcentral lists this unclassified non-coding RNA (2599 nucleotides) under Ooceraea biroi (clonal raider ant). Its description in RNAcentral is "protein RER1, transcript variant X2". Lineage: Eukaryota; Metazoa; Arthropoda; Insecta; Hymenoptera; Formicidae. The record is from RNAcentral.